This 76-nucleotide transfer RNA is filed under the name Chloroflexaceae bacterium. RNAcentral describes it as "tRNA-Arg". It matches the Rfam family "tRNA". From Rfam's summary of the family: Transfer RNA (tRNA) molecules are approximately 80 nucleotides in length. The record is from RNAcentral. Lineage: Bacteria; Bacillati; Chloroflexota; Chloroflexia; Chloroflexales; Chloroflexaceae.
GGCCCGGUAGCUCAAUGGAUAGAGCAUCAGUCUUCGGAACUGAGGGUUGGGGGUUCGAUUCCCUCCCGGGUCGCCA